AAGUCGUAACAAGGUAACCGUAGGUGAACCUGCGGUUGGAUCAUUACUGAAGUGGGAGCCCACUGGGCUCAGCCCUCGGCCUAAGGCCGUUGAGCUUUCCCCAACCUCUUGUGAACUCAUUGUGUCUCUGGCGGCGGGGUGUUGUGAGGCUGUUGCCUCUGUCACCUGUCAGCUUCGGUGUCAUUUUUGGACCCUUGCCGUGGACAAACCGCCAACCGUGUCCAAAACGUUGAAUACAAUUGCAGUCUAAGAUGAAUUUGUUUGAAAAUAAAGUCAAACAACUUUUGGCAACGGAUCUCUUGGCUCUC
This 308-nucleotide unclassified non-coding RNA is filed under the name fungal sp. RNAcentral describes it as "partial internal transcribed spacer region". The stretch from base 1 to 46 matches the Rfam family "Eukaryotic small subunit ribosomal RNA", at positions 1786 to 1831 of the family's 1831-position model. Lineage: Eukaryota; Fungi. The record is from RNAcentral.